Molecule: long non-coding RNA, 529 nt
Organism: Mya arenaria
Lineage: Eukaryota; Metazoa; Mollusca; Bivalvia; Myida; Myidae
Exons: 4
Source: RefSeq, a predicted model, not a curated record
UUCAUUCCAUAAAAAACAGAAAUAAGGAAAUUCGAUAUUUCGUGUACCAUCAGCAUCCAAAUUUUCAAGUAUACAGAAAUUUAACUUUCCGGAAUAUAACGGAAAUUUUCGGGUAUCUCCGUGGUACCAUCUCCGUGCAAUUAUGCAGUAUGGCGUUCAUCUCUUACGGAAAGAGAAUGGUAACUUGUUGCUGCUUGGGACAAUAAAGUUAAGUCAGCAACCGUCUACCAGACUGCAAGAUUCAUCUCUUCCAAAGGAUGUCGUACCUUUCCAGAUACACUGUGUUUUGUGUGGAUAAGAAAUGCAGAGUGGUACCACCAAUCACCUAAGCCACCAUUCCCCUAACAGACAAUAGGCUCAUGGGGACAGUUCCUGCAAUUUACAGAAAAGCUCUCAAUUGUAGCCCUACGAACAUCAGAUACUGCCGAUGGUGAAGCUUGGGUGCACCGGGCCGGUUUUCCAGCCGUGUGGAAUCAACAUCUCCAGCUGAACUGGGGCCGGGAAUUAUAUAAGACUCCUUAGCAGCAUG